This 324-nucleotide ribosomal RNA is filed under the name Enterococcus faecium. RNAcentral's name for it is "bacterial SSU rRNA". It matches the Rfam family "Bacterial small subunit ribosomal RNA", at positions 1 to 303 of the family's 1533-position model. The record is from RNAcentral. Lineage: Bacteria; Bacillati; Bacillota; Bacilli; Lactobacillales; Enterococcaceae. RNAcentral also lists the same sequence under 4 other names.
UUUUAUGAGAGUUUGAUCCUGGCUCAGGACGAACGCUGGCGGCGUGCCUAAUACAUGCAAGUCGAACGCUUCUUUUUCCACCGGAGCUUGCUCCACCGGAAAAAGAGGAGUGGCGAACGGGUGAGUAACACGUGGGUAACCUGCCCAUCAGAAGGGGAUAACACUUGGAAACAGGUGCUAAUACCGUAUAACAAUCGAAACCGCAUGGUUUUGAUUUGAAAGGCGCUUUCGGGUGUCGCUGAUGGAUGGACCCGCGGUGCAUUAGCUAGUUGGUGAGGUAACGGCUCACCAAGGCCACGAUGCAUAGCCGACCUGAGAGGGUGA